UACGUAGGGGGCAAGCGUUGCUCGGAAUCACUGGGCGUAAAGGGCGCGUAGGCGGGGAGGUAAGUCGGGUGUGAAAUCCCUCGGCCCAACCGAGGAACUGCGCCCGAGACUGCUUCUCUUGAGUCCCGGAGAGGAAGGUGGAAUUCCCGGUGUAGCGGUGAAAUGUGUAGAGAUCGGGAGGAACACCGGUGGCGAAGGCGGCCUUCUGGACGGUGACUGACGCUGAGGCGCGAAAGCGUGGGGAGCAAACGGG
Molecule: ribosomal RNA, 253 nt
Filed under: uncultured bacterium
Lineage: Bacteria
Description: partial 16S ribosomal RNA
Rfam family: Bacterial small subunit ribosomal RNA
Source: RNAcentral